Molecule: ribosomal RNA, 469 nt
Filed under: uncultured bacterium
Lineage: Bacteria
Description: partial 16S ribosomal RNA
Rfam family: Bacterial small subunit ribosomal RNA
Source: RNAcentral
AAUGAACGCUGGCGGCGUGCCUAACACAUGCAAGUCGAACGAGAAAGCCCGCAAGGGUGAGUACAGUGGCGCACGGGUGAGUAAUACAUAGGAAUCUGCCUCUGAGUGAAGAAUACCCUAGAGAAAUUUAGGUUAAUACCGCAUAAGCCCAGAAAUGGGGAAAGGUGGCCUCAAGCUACCGCUGAGAGAUGAGCCUAUGGCCUAUUAGCUAGUUGGUAGGGUAAAAGCCUACCAAGGCGAGGAUGGGUAGCUGGUCUGAGAGGAUGAUCAGCCACACGGGGACUGAGACACGGUCCGGACUCCUACGGGAGGCAGCAGUAAGGAAUAUUGGACAAUGGGGGAAACCCUGAUCCAGCCAUGCCGCGUGAGUGAAGAAGGCCUUAGGGUUGUAAAGCUCUUUCAAUAGUGAAGAUAAUGACGGUAGCUAUAGAAGAAGCCCCGGCUAAAUUCGUGCCAGCCGCCGCCGUAA